RNAcentral lists this ribosomal RNA (328 nucleotides) under Salmonella enterica. Its description in RNAcentral is "bacterial SSU rRNA". It matches the Rfam family "Bacterial small subunit ribosomal RNA", at positions 1 to 325 of the family's 1533-position model. RNAcentral also lists the same sequence under 2 other names. The record is from RNAcentral. Lineage: Bacteria; Pseudomonadati; Pseudomonadota; Gammaproteobacteria; Enterobacterales; Enterobacteriaceae.
AAAUUGAAGAGUUUGAUCAUGGCUCAGAUUGAACGCUGGCGGCAGGCCUAACACAUGCAAGUCGAACGGUAACAGGAAGCAGCUUGCUGCUUUGCUGACGAGUGGCGGACGGGUGAGUAAUGUCUGGGAAACUGCCUGAUGGAGGGGGAUAACUACUGGAAACGGUGGCUAAUACCGCAUAACGUCGCAAGACCAAAGAGGGGGACCUUCGGGCCUCUUGCCAUCAGAUGUGCCCAGAUGGGAUUAGCUUGUUGGUGAGGUAACGGCUCACCAAGGCGACGAUCCCUAGCUGGUCUGAGAGGAUGACCAGCCACACUGGAACUGAGAC